UCAUUAACAAAAUUUCAACGUUAACACCGUUCGAAACACACACCGCGUACCUUUACCCGUUGCUUCCCCCUGGGCGCGAAACCCCGGGGGGGAGGGAACCGCAAACCCCUUGCUUUCACAACGGAAGUCUGUCUGAAGAUCCGACAUUUUUAAUGUCGUAACGAAACAAAUGAAAAACUUUCAACAACGGAUCUCUUGGUUCUCCCAUCGAUGAAGAACGCAGCGAAAUGCGAUAAGUAGUGUGAAUUGCAGAAUUCAGUGAAUCAUCGAAUCUUUGAACGCACAUUGCGCCCUCUGGUAUUCCGGAGGGCAUGCCUGUUCGAGCGUCAUGAAUCAUCCUCGGGCAUCGGUUGUCAAACAGCCUCUGCUCGGUCUUGGGCAUGAGGGUUCCAUUGUUUUUGGACCCCUCCGCCCGCAAUGCAGUGGCGGACGUCCCGUCGGGAGGUAGCGUGAUGAGCACAUCGACCGCGACUCGCGAAAGGGACCGUCCCGCCGUUAACAACCCCCUCGGAGAACAUUCUCCUGGUUUGACCUCGGAUCAGGUAGGGAUACCCGCUGAACUUAAGCAUAUCAAUAAGCGGAGGA
RNAcentral lists this unclassified non-coding RNA (585 nucleotides) under uncultured Tarzetta. RNAcentral's name for it is "sequence contains ITS1, 5.8S rRNA gene, ITS2". The stretch from base 176 to 329 matches the Rfam family "5.8S ribosomal RNA". Lineage: Eukaryota; Fungi; Ascomycota; Pezizomycetes; Pezizales; Pyronemataceae. The record is from RNAcentral.